CCCUUCUCAGCAUCACCCCUGGAGAGUUUCCAGUACUCUACCAGUCUCGACUAUGGGAAGGAGAGUCAAACAGAGGCUUACCCAUUCCACUCCUAGCUUGGGCAGUGGCUAGUGAGUGGAAGGCAACCUGCUACAAGU
This 138-nucleotide small nucleolar RNA is filed under the name Ornithorhynchus anatinus (platypus). The record is from RNAcentral. Lineage: Eukaryota; Metazoa; Chordata; Mammalia; Monotremata; Ornithorhynchidae.